Molecule: long non-coding RNA, 616 nt
Organism: Canis lupus familiaris (dog)
Lineage: Eukaryota; Metazoa; Chordata; Mammalia; Carnivora; Canidae
Exons: 3
Source: RefSeq, a predicted model, not a curated record
CUUGGGAACCGGAAUCUUGUUAUGGAGGAAAAGAGAUACAGAUAUAGUAAAAGCAUAAAAAGGACUAAGUAAAAAACUCUAUAGUUCUGGAUUUUAAUUGGAAAUAUUGGCAUACUAGUGAAUUAACAGAUCCAGACAUCAACUGUUAAUGAUAUCACAAAAGGAGACUCAACCAAACAUCAUAUACCUCUCAUGAAAGAACACAACACAACCUAUCAUCUUACCCCAAGUGAUGAAACCUGAGUUCAAUGAAGCUUCUGAAUCCAGCUGCCAGUUCUCAGGAAAUGCCCAGGACAGAGGAAUAUGCCACACUGCAUCAUGAAUAUGAAAACAGCAAACCUCCCGAUGGUGAAAGGAUGAACCUGUAGAAUGAGAUUUAAAAGAUACAUUAAAAAAUACUUAAUGGGCAGAAAUAUAAGCUUUCAAGUCUACCUUACGGUCUCGGCCUUAGUCACCGUACUGUACAUCACCAGGACGUGUUUGUAAUUCUAAGUUUGUACUUUUUGACCUCCUUUGCCCAUUUCGCCCACCUUCCCCCACUCCGUCCCCCUGGCCACCACCAAUCAGCUUUCUGUAUUUUUUUUUUUAAUGCAAGUUAAUUUUAACAUGUGUUCUA